GGAGGGAUGCCCGAGUGGUUAAAGGGGACGGGCUGUAAACCCGUUGGCUAUGCCUACGUUGGUUCAAAUCCAACUCCCUCCACCA
RNAcentral lists this transfer RNA (85 nucleotides) under Alphaproteobacteria bacterium. RNAcentral's name for it is "tRNA-Tyr". It matches the Rfam family "tRNA". From Rfam's summary of the family: Transfer RNA (tRNA) molecules are approximately 80 nucleotides in length. The record is from RNAcentral. RNAcentral also lists the same sequence under 4 other names. Lineage: Bacteria; Pseudomonadati; Pseudomonadota; Alphaproteobacteria.